Actinia tenebrosa (Australian red waratah sea anemone) is the source of this 526-nucleotide long non-coding RNA. The record is from RefSeq and is a predicted model, not a curated record. Lineage: Eukaryota; Metazoa; Cnidaria; Anthozoa; Actiniaria; Actiniidae.
GCGCGCACCUGCCUGUAACAGCGCAAAUGACUCUAGAAAUCAGGCUCUGAUGGAAGUCCUAAGGGUUAAGGUUUUUACAAGUUACCGCAUGCAUUGCAAAGAGCCUUGCCUGAAAUAAUAACUUAUGAGCGCUAAAAUCAAAGGCUGCAUCUGCAAGUCAAACCGUCAUAAAGACCGAUAGGGACAAGAAAAGUGGUCGUAUUAUAGAGGUUACUUUUCCGUAUCAGUGAUCGUAUCGUAAAAGUUCCCGUAUCUGUGGUCGUAUUAUAAAAGUUCCCGUAUCAGUGGUCGUAUUAUCGAGGUUCCCCUAUCAGUGGUCGUAUUAUCAAGGUUACGUUCUCGUAUCAGUGGUCGUAUAAUCAAGGUUCCCCUAUCAGUGGUCGUUCAAGGUCGUAUCAAGGUUACGUUCUUGUAUCAGUGGUCGUAUAAUCAAGGUUCCCCUAUCAGUGGUCGUAUUAUCAAGGUUACGUUCUUGUAUCAGUGGUCGUAUUAUCGAGGUUCCCCUAAAGCCGCAGCUUCUUUCUAU